CAGUAGACGCUGAGGAGGAACUUGCUUCUCUGGAUGAGUUGCGAGCGGGUGAGUGACGCGUGGGUGACCUGCCUGGUGGCGGGGGAGAACUAUUGGAAAAAAUAGCUAAUACCGCAUAAUAGUAUAUGUUGCAUGACAUUUACUUAAAAGGUGCAAUUGCGUCACUACCAGAUGGACCUGCGUUGUAUUAGCUAGUUGGGGGGGGGACGGCUCACCAAGGCGACAAUACAUAGCCGACCUGAGAGGGUGAUCGGCCACACAGUGACAGAGACACGGCCCACACUCCUACGGGAGGCAGCAGUAGGGAAUCUUCGGCAAUGGACGAAAGACUGACCGAGCAACGCCGCGUGAGUGAAGAAGGUUUUCGGAUCGUAAAGCUCUGUUGUGAGAGAAGAACGAGUGUGAGAGUGGAAAGUUCACACUGUGACGGUAUCUUACCAGAAAGGGACGGCUAACUACGUGCCAGCAGCCGCGGUAAUACGUAGGUCCCGAGCGUUGUCCGGAUUUAUUGGGCGUAAAGCGAGCGCAGGCGGUUAGAUAAGUCUGAAAUUAAAGGCUGUGGCUUAACCAUAGUACGCUUUGGAAACUGUUUAACUUGAGUGCAAGAGGGGAGAGAGGAAUUCCAUGUGUAGCGGUGAAAUGCGUAGAUAUAUGGAGGAACACCGGUGGCGAAAGCGGCUCUCUGGCUUGUAACUGACGCUGAGGCUCGAAAGCGUGGGGAGCAAACAGGAUUAGAUACCCUGGUAGUCCACGCCGUAAACGAUGAGUGCUAGGUGUUAGACC
Molecule: ribosomal RNA, 783 nt
Filed under: bacterium NA109
Lineage: Bacteria
Description: bacterial SSU rRNA
Rfam family: Bacterial small subunit ribosomal RNA
Source: RNAcentral